Molecule: small RNA, 344 nt
Filed under: Pongo abelii (Sumatran orangutan)
Lineage: Eukaryota; Metazoa; Chordata; Mammalia; Primates; Hominidae
Description: processed transcript
Source: RNAcentral
GGAGUCUUGUUUUAUCACCCAGGCUGGAGUGCAGUUGCACAAUCUCAGCUCACUGCAGCCUCUGUCUCCCGGGUUCAAGCGAUCCUCCCAGAAUGGAAGAGCAACCUGUUUGCUCCUACUUGGAAAAGAUUCUUUCUAAAAAUAUGGAACUGAUGGAAAAGAAACUUACGGAUUACAUUGAUCAGCGAAUACAUAAACUCCAGGAGCACAUUGAUGAUAAGAUUUCUUUGUUAAUGGAUUUGCUGCAAAAUCCUAACUCCCCGCCCACUGGGAUACCUCUAAGACAUUAUGACUCUGGAGAAAGACUUUCAAAUGGAGAAAGAUGAGCUCUCAACAUAAACAGU